CCUACGGGAGGCAGCAGUGGGGAAUAUUGCACAAUGGGGGAAACCCUGAUGCAGCGACGCCGCGUGAGUGAAGAAGUAUUUCGGUAUGUAAAGCUCUAUCAGCAGGGAAGAAGAAAGACGGUACUUGACUAAGAAGCACCGGCUAACUACGUGCCAGCAGCCGUGGCAAUACGUAGGGGGCAAGCGUUAUCCGGAUUUACUGGGGGUAAAGGGAGCGUAGACGGCUGUGCAAGUCUGAAGUGAAAGCCCAGGGCUCAACCCUGGGACUGCUUUGGAAACUGUGGGGCUAGAGUGCUGGAGAGGUAAGUGGAAUUCCUGGUGUAGCGGUGAAAUGCGUAGAUAUUAGGAGGAACACCAGUGGCGAAGGCGGCUUACUGGACAGUAACUGACGUUGAGGCUCGAAAGCGUGGGGAGCAAACAGGAUUAGAUACCCUGGUAGUC
This 441-nucleotide ribosomal RNA is filed under the name uncultured bacterium. Its description in RNAcentral is "partial 16S ribosomal RNA". It matches the Rfam family "Bacterial small subunit ribosomal RNA", at positions 338 to 795 of the family's 1533-position model. The record is from RNAcentral.